Molecule: long non-coding RNA, 670 nt
Organism: Peromyscus maniculatus bairdii (prairie deer mouse)
Lineage: Eukaryota; Metazoa; Chordata; Mammalia; Rodentia; Cricetidae
Source: RefSeq, a predicted model, not a curated record
CCACCCACACUCCGCUCCGCUGCCGGGCCUCCGGCGAGCUCCGCGCCUCCGUCCGGGAGCCAAGGGCUCCCUGGUUCAAAGGGCCGCAGCCCAGGGGAUGCCCUCCUCGUGUGUCCCGGGGUGCAGAAGCAGACUGCAGGGCGGUGGGACCAGCCUGGGCCACGCUAUAUGGAGAAAAAUCAAAAGGAGAUAGGAAAGAAAGCGCUGUAAAGAGACCACAGCCAAAAGUCUUUGGAAUCACCACUGGGUGGAAGUUUGGUGAAAGGAAAUCCCCGUGGAGGAGGUGAUGCAGUGUGGGAAAAUGGGCCAAAGGAUGUGGCUCUAUCAGUGCAUAAAGUUCAACAUUAAAAAAAAAGAAAAUGUUUGUGCUAAAGUGUUAAACAAGUGCAGUAAACAGCGUGCUCGCAGCACACAAAAUUAAAACGAGUCACAAAUGGGUCUCUUCUACGGCAAUUUAUUUCACAAUUACUCUUGUGGAAGCUUUCAUGAAUUAAAUAUGAGUUCUGUCUUGAAAUUAGGUGUUAUAAGGCUAAAUUACAAGAGGCAGGCAGUAAUUGAGGUGGUAGCAACACGGGUCUGGUGAACUAAUUUCUCGCCAUGUCAUGUGGCUCACCUUCAGCCAAUGGGAUGCUGCCCAUCACAAAAACGGAGGCAGCUGAGAAAAAUUGAU